UCCAGCCCAUUUCUACUAGCUUUAAAUCCAUUUAGUGACAGUAUGCUUUUAACAAAUGCAUGUAAAAUUUACACAUUCUCUUCACAGAUCUGAUUUUUUUAUGUGACUCAUAUUGCGCUACACAAAUGUUAUCCAAUCAAAUACCUUCUAGAGCAAGUCCCUCCUCCAAACACCAUCUGAAAGCGACUAACAGCACAGUGUAGCUCUGUGAAGUCUCUCAGUUGGAGAUGUAAGAAUAAUAACAGAUUUACCUUUACAGAAGAUCUGAACCGCUCUGAAUGUGAAGAAGUGUCCUGAGGAGCAGCAGGUGUUGAGAGCAGAAUUACUUCAAUGCGAAACAUAAGGACUGAGGAUUUCAUGCGGAAAGUUACUUACAGAUUAAGGGAUGUGUUUGAACAGAAGCAGAGCUCUGGACGUGUGGACAGACUUUCACUGUAAUGAUGGACAUCCGCUCGUGGACAGCACAGAAACAAACAAAUCCGACCCCCGCUGUGAUAAAGUGCAGGAAUGGAGAGUCACUAUUAAGGGAUGUGUUUGA
Molecule: long non-coding RNA, 538 nt
Organism: Cyprinus carpio (common carp)
Lineage: Eukaryota; Metazoa; Chordata; Actinopteri; Cypriniformes; Cyprinidae
Source: Ensembl